CAAAAGGUUUCUGGUCUCUGAAAUUAGCUAUUGGUAAGGCAAAAGGGACGCGAAAGCUGGAAAGAAACAUCAAUUACCAAAAGAGACACUUGUUUUUCGCUUUUUUCUGUGUUUUGACUUCUGACGCCUUCACAUCAGAUGUCCCAUGUCAGAAGCUUUUCCUUUCAUUUUUCUUAAAAUUUAUUCGAUUUCUAAAAAAUAAUCU
Caenorhabditis elegans is the source of this 205-nucleotide non-coding RNA. The record is from Ensembl. Lineage: Eukaryota; Metazoa; Nematoda; Chromadorea; Rhabditida; Rhabditidae.